GAUAAACGAACAAAAAGAAAAAUAUGGUUGGGAAUUCAUAUUUAUGGGAGCCAACAUUGAUGCAGUCAAAGAG
Molecule: small nucleolar RNA, 73 nt
Filed under: Peptoanaerobacter stomatis
Lineage: Bacteria; Bacillati; Bacillota; Clostridia; Peptostreptococcales; Filifactoraceae
Description: putative Small nucleolar RNA SNORD19
Source: RNAcentral